RNAcentral lists this ribosomal RNA (497 nucleotides) under uncultured bacterium. RNAcentral's name for it is "partial 16S ribosomal RNA". It matches the Rfam family "Bacterial small subunit ribosomal RNA", at positions 28 to 507 of the family's 1533-position model. The record is from RNAcentral.
GAUGAACGCUGGCGGCGUGCCUAAUACAUGCAAGUCGAGCGAACAGACGAGGAGCUUGCUCCUCUGACGUUAGCGGCGGACGGGUGAGUAACACGUGGAUAACCUACCUAUAAGACUGGGAUAACUUCGGGAAACCGGCGCUAAUCCCGUAUAAUAUAUUGAACCGCAUGGUUCAAUAGUGAAAGACGGUUUUGCUGUCACUUAUAGAUGGAUCCGCGCCGCAUUAGCUAGUUGGUAAGGUAACGGCUUACCAAGGCGACGAUGCGUAGCCGACCUGAGAGAGUGAUCGGCCACACUGGAAGGGAGACAGGGACCAGGCGCCUACGGGAGGGAGCAGAAGGGAAUCUUCCGCAAUGGGCGAGAGCCUGACGGAGCGGCGGGGCGCGAGUGGUGGAGGUCUUGGGAGCGGAAAGCUCGGUUAUGAGGGAAGAACAAAUGUGUAAGUAACUAUGCAGGUCUUGACGGUACCUAGUCAGAAAGCCACGGCUAACUACGUG